GGGUAGUGGCGGCGGCUUACACAUGCAGUCGAGCGGAACGAUGGUAGCUUGCUACCAGGCGUCGAGCGGCGGACGGGUGAGUAAUACUUAGGAAUCUACCUAGUAGUGGGGGAUAGCUCGGGGAAACUCGAAUUAAUACCGCAUACGACCUACGGGAGAAAGGGGCAACUUGUUGCUCUCGCUAUUAGAUGAGCCUAAGUCGGAUUAGCUAGAUGGGGGGGUAAAGGCCUACCAUGGCGACGAUCUGUAGCUGGUCUGAGAGGAUGAUCAGCCACACCGGGACUGAAACACGGCCCGGACUCCUACGGGAGGCAGCAGUGGGGAAUAUUGGACAAUGGGGGAAACCCUGAUCCAGCCAUGCCGCGUGUGUGAAGAAGGCCUUUUGGUUGUAGAGCACUUUAAGCAGUGAAGAAGACUCCUCGGUUAAUACCCGUGGACGAUGACAUUAGCUGCAGAAUAAGCACCGGCUAACUCUGUGCCAGCAGCCGCGGUAAUACAGGGGGUGCAAGCGUUAAUCGGAAUUACUGGGCGUAAAGCGAGCGUAGGUGGCUUGAUAAGUCAGAUGUGAAAUCCCCGGGCUUAACCUGGGAACUGCAUCUGAAACUGUUAGGCUAGAGUAGGUGAGAGGAAGGUAGAAUUCCAGGUGCAGCGGUGAAAUGCGUAGAGAUCUGGAGGAAUACCGAUGGCGAAGGCAGCCUUCUGGCAUCAUACUGACACUGAGGCUCGAAAGCGUGGGUAGCAAACAGGAUUAGAUACCCUGGUAGUCCACGCCGUAAACGAUGUCUACUAGCCGUUGGGUCCCUUGAGGACUUAGUGACGCAGCUAACGCAAUAAGUAGACCGCCUGGGGAGUACGGCGCAAGGUUAAAACUCAAAUGGAUUGACGGGGGCCCGCACAAGCGGUGGAGCAUGUGGUUUAUUCGAUGCACGCGAGACUUACUGUCUUGACAUAUCUAGAAUCCUGCAGAGAUGCGGGAGUGCCUUCGGGAAUUAGAAUACAA
This 1000-nucleotide ribosomal RNA is filed under the name uncultured bacterium. RNAcentral's name for it is "bacterial SSU rRNA". It matches the Rfam family "Bacterial small subunit ribosomal RNA", at positions 31 to 1037 of the family's 1533-position model. The record is from RNAcentral.